AUCGAUGAAGAACGCAGCGAAUUGCGAUAUGUAAUGUGAAUUGCAGAAUUCAGUGAAUCAUCGAAUCUUUGAACGCACCUUGCGCCCUUUGGUAUUCCGAAGGGCAUGCCUGUUUGAGUGUCAUUAAAUUCUCAACUUCAAAUUUCUAUUUUGAAGCUUGGAUGUUGGAGGCUUUGCAGGCAUUUAUUUGCCAGCUCCUCUUAAAUGCAUUAGCAGGACUUGUACGUUCGGCUCUGGUUUGAUAAUACUAUCUAUGCCAUUGCUGAAAGGUCAUUGUUCAGCUUCUAAUGGUCCAUUGCAUUGGACUGUCUCUUUGGAGGCAUAACCUUUUGACUUGACCUCAAAUCAGGUAGGACUACCCGCUGAACUUAAGCAUAUCAAUAAGCGGAGGAAAAGAAACUAACAAGGAUUCCCUUAGUAACUGCGAGUGAAGAGGGAAGAGCUCAAAUUUGAAAUCUGGCGGUCCUUCGGCUGUCCGAGUUGUAGUUUAGAGAAGUGCUAUCCGCGCUGGCCCGUGCAUAAGUUUCUUGGAAAAGAACAUCAUAGAGGGUGACAAUCCCGUCUUUGGCACGGAUCCCAGGGCUUUUGUGAUGCGCUCUCGACGAGUCGAGUUGUUUGGGAAUGCAGCUCUAAAUGGGUGGUAAAUUCCAUCUAAAGCUAAAUAUUGGCGAGAGACCGAUAGCGAACAAGUACCGUGAGGGAAAGAUGAAAAGAACUUUGAAAAGAGAGUUAAACAGUACGUGAAAUUGUUGAAAGGGAAACGCUUGAAGUCAGUCGUGUCCUCUAGGGAUCAAGUCAGCUCUGGCUGGCCGUACUUUCUAGUUGGAUGGGUCAGCAUCAAUUUUGAUCGCUGGAUAAAGGCCUUGGGAAUGUGGCAUCUUCGGAUGUGUUAUAGACCAUGGUUCUGAUACAGCGGUUGGGAUUGAGGAACUCAGCGCGCCUUCGUGGUUGCGUUCAGGAUGCUGGCAUAAUGGCUUUAAUCGACUGGWCUUGAAACACGG
Molecule: ribosomal RNA, 1001 nt
Filed under: uncultured fungus
Lineage: Eukaryota; Fungi
Description: eukaryotic LSU rRNA
Rfam family: Eukaryotic large subunit ribosomal RNA (bases 336-1001)
Source: RNAcentral